UGCCUGCAUCUUGGUCUUGGACUUCUCAGCCUCCAGAAAUCUAAAACCCCUGAGUUUUAACUGGACACAUGACCACCCAGCCACAGAUUACAUUUCCCCGGCUCCAUUGCAGCUAGCUGUGACCAUGUGACUCAGUGUGGCCCAGUGGAGUGUGAGCAGAUAUGAUGCAUACUACAACCAGGUCUUCUUAAAGAUACUUGCCCUGGACUCUUCUUCUUUCCCACUUCCCUUGGAUGUGGUGGUAAGCCACCAUCAACUAUGCUGAUGCUGCUAAUACACUAAGCCAGGGAGAACCAAAGGAAAGAAAGAACCAUUUCCUUAGAAGACCUUGAAUAGCAAAGCUGCUUGUCCUCCAGUUCUUGACCACUCACUACUUGACUGUUACAAAAGAGUGAAAUAAACUUCUGUCAUCUUA
This is a long non-coding RNA of Galeopterus variegatus (Sunda flying lemur), 415 nucleotides long. RefSeq lists it as uncharacterized. The transcript is spliced from 2 exons. The record is from RefSeq and is a predicted model, not a curated record. Lineage: Eukaryota; Metazoa; Chordata; Mammalia; Dermoptera; Cynocephalidae.